This is a long non-coding RNA of Thamnophis elegans (Western terrestrial garter snake), 3140 nucleotides long. RefSeq lists it as uncharacterized. The record is from RefSeq and is a predicted model, not a curated record. Lineage: Eukaryota; Metazoa; Chordata; Lepidosauria; Squamata; Natricidae. The transcript is spliced from 3 exons.
UCCAGUUUCCUCUUGAAAGAAACACCUUUGAGACAAAUGUGACCUGGAUGACUGAGAAUCUCCAUAGACAAGGUUGGCCUUCAAAUAACCUUUUGGCCUCAUAUCUUCAGAUUUAAGAUUAAAUCUAAGAUUUAAGUCAAUUAGCAAGUCACCUUGAGUAAGAGAUUUAGGAUCUGAGGACUGACUUUCUGCUCCAGAUGAGGAAUUGGUUAUUCCAUUCCCCUUCUUGGCAACCAGAAGUUGAAAUAAUUUCCCUUUAGUUGACAGGAUUUGCCUCAGCAAAGCCCAGUUUAUUGACAGUUGUUGGUUCUCAGAGUCUUCCGUUGAGGUUGGUCUAUUCUAAACUGGAAACUGUCCUGUACAAUUGAAAUUUAGAUUCAUGUCUGUGUGAAAUCUAAAUUUCUUGAAUACAUCCAGUCCUUUCCCUACCCAUCAUCACUACCGAUACCCACACAGCCCCCAUCUCCAUCAGAUAAACCUGUUUUCAUUCUGAGUGACUCAGAAUCACCUACCAGCUCCAUCGAUUGCCAGUUUCCCCAAAUCAAUCCAUGUUUGAAUGCUAUGAUCUUGUCUUAAAUCUCACUUCCUAACCCAGCCUGGCAACUCUAUGACAUGUGGACUUCAACUCUCAGAAUUCCCCAGCCAGCUUGGCUGACUGGGGUAUUCUGGGAGUUGAAGUCCACAUGUCUUAAAGUCGCCAGGCCUGAGAAAUUCACUGCCCUAGCAUCUCUCUCUCUCCCCUUCCAAAAUCCUGAUUUCCCUUCCUGCCCCAAAUAUAAGUAUAUAAAAACAUGCAGACAGAAUACUUGCAUUUCAACAUCAAAAUACAACAGCCCUGGGUCCCACCCUGCCAGGCAUCCCCUUCUGUCCCCUAGAGAUUAACAGAUCCCCAGGGCUGAGGAGAAGAUUCCUUCUACCAAAACUGCCCUUCCAGCUGCAUCAUGCACCCAUCGAGAAAGGGGCCGUUUUGGUUUUACUUUGUUUUAAUUGUGCAAGAUGGUUGGCACAAGGCCAGAGGCUCAUCAUAUAUCGUGCAGAUGGGAUUAGCAGUGGAAGGAGUUUCAGACCCCUUAAAUAAUGCCCCAUGCUCUCUUCCAAGUAUAAAUUGUAAAGGAGGCUGCCAUGAGGCUGCCGGUGCCCCCACCCCACCCCACCCCCCACCCCACACCCCCUUUGUGUAACAGUCUGCAGGAAAACCAAAGUCAAAAAGAAAUAAAAGUCACAUUGUGCUGGGUGUAAAUUUAGUGUCUGCUACACACACAACCUCUUUGCUGGUGUCUUUCCCUCUCCUUGUUCUCCCCCCUGCCUCCCCAUACCACCCCCCCACCAAGUGGAUUCUGUCCAAUCACAUACUGUGGUUGUCUAUUUUAAGUCUUUCUUUCAUAUGCAUGGAGCAUAUAGCCGCUCAAAGAAUACAUUUUUCAGCAAAGCCACGUCAUUCAACCCUUCUCUCCCUGUGCUGCCGCGUCACAUCUGGUGAGUCCGCUGGGCAGAUGGGCUUCCCUCCCUGGCUUGGUGUGAUCUUCUCUCCUUCCAAAGAGGGCUCUUUAUCAUCCCAGCUUCCUUUCCUUCUCCCAGGAUAUUAUUCCUCCCCCCCUCCCCCAAUCAUGGUUUUUAAAUCUCGUGCAAACUUCCAUCUGUCCUGGGUUUUUUCCUCCCUCCUCCCCUUAGAGAAUGCCUUGUUUCUUUGCUUUUUAGUAGCUAGAUGAUAUCAUCACAUUCCUUCUGGACUCUUACACCGUAGAUAAUGUAGACUAGGAUCUGUACACUCCCAAAUACGGGGGGUGCCCUGUUUUGUCUUUAAUAGCACAAUUCUUACUGCAGAUUAGAAUUAUAAGAUUCCUUUGUCCAACAGAGAAUUAAUAAUGUAAUAUAUACAGGGUGGAAACAUAUAUUCCUCUCUAUUACAUUGUCAUUCCUGCAGAUACUUGUACACGCUCAUGCUUCACUGCAUGGUUCUCACACACCUUCCUGAUUUUGUUCUAUACCGAGGGUUUUCGCUCUUUGUAAUGAGGAUGGAGAUAUUCGGUACAGUUGCUCCCCUGUUGUGUGUGAGUCUGCCUUUCAAAGCAACUGAGCAAAGAAAUUCACAAUCUCUUAUCUGAUCCAAAGGAGAGGAUUGAACAGGAAGACAUGUUGAACUUCAAUUUCCUCAAAGGGACUCCUCCAGUUGAUUGGCGGGAUGGUAUGUUUGGUUAUACAAGCGUUUCUGGAUGUCUUAUUGGUGUGCAACCACACCCGUUUGAGGUAUACUCCACCUCCCCCUGAAUACCACACCUUUGGAGUGGUGGUUCAAGACUUUUGCAUCUCCCUUUCUGUGCAGACAGGAAAUUGGGAAGAGCUGAUGUGGAUCUUCCUGUCAGGGUUGAUGGCCAAGGAUUCAUCUUCAGAUCCAACUCCCUGCUCAGUAGCCCUUUCUGAUACGCAUUUAAAAACAGGUCUGAGGCAUUCACACGUGCCAUUCUUAGGUAUGCGUUAAAGAUGCAAUUUGUUUCUUAAACUGGCUUUGCAUUACCACCCGCCUUGCUUGGUGUGAACUAAUGCUCAUCUGCCAGACAGACUGCUGUAAUUCCUGCAUCUGUGUUUUCCAGAUUUGAGGGCUGUAAUGCACUUUUUAUGGAGCUGCUGCUAAAGGCAGUUCAGGAACUUCACCUAAGUUAGAGCGUGGCAGGCUAAUGGAAACCAUUUAAUGGUCUCGUCCAUCAUCCAUUUGAGAAGUCUGCAUAAAUUGCUGAUUAGUUUCCCAGCUCAGUUCAAUACUGGAUCCUCCCUCUUAACUCUGUAAUUGCUACAGUUCAAAUGGUCCAUGGGAAAAAAAAUGCUUCUGCAAGAAAAUAAUUUCCCUUCCUACCCCAGCCUCCCUCUUCAGAUCCUACAAAGUGGCUUGAUUCACUUCUAGUAGAAAUAAAUAUUUUUUUCAUUGGAAAAUCAGAUUUAACAGAAAUUCAUGCAAACGCACAGCACGCUUAGUACACACACGAGCAAACCUGUAGAAGUGCCUGGCGGAACCCACCCCUGCUUUAUACCUACCUGUUAUUUCAUUAUUGGCAUAUCCAUUUUGGUUUUAAAAUAGUAAAACCAUCUGAAGUUUUAUAAACACUUUUAGGCAGCUAUUAUUAAAUAGAGAAAUAUAAACAAGA